Molecule: non-coding RNA, 73 nt
Organism: Daphnia pulex (common water flea)
Lineage: Eukaryota; Metazoa; Arthropoda; Branchiopoda; Diplostraca; Daphniidae
Source: Rfam
GCCCGGUUAGUUCAGACGGUAGAAAGCAGGACUUUUAAUCCUGAGGUCGAGGGAUCAAGUCCUUAAUCGGGCG